GCCCGGAUGGUGAAAUUGGUAGACACAAGAGACUUAAAAUCUCUCGCCAGUAAUGGUGUGCCGGUUCGACCCCGGCUCCGGGCA
RNAcentral lists this transfer RNA (84 nucleotides) under Methylovorus glucosotrophus. Its description in RNAcentral is "tRNA-Leu". It matches the Rfam family "tRNA". Rfam says of the family: Transfer RNA (tRNA) molecules are approximately 80 nucleotides in length. RNAcentral also lists the same sequence under 1 other name. The record is from RNAcentral. Lineage: Bacteria; Pseudomonadati; Pseudomonadota; Betaproteobacteria; Nitrosomonadales; Methylophilaceae.